AGCAGCCGCGGUAAUUCCAGCUCCAAUAGCGUAUAUUAAAGUUGCUGCAGUUAAAAAGCUCGUAGUUGAAUUUCGGGACCGAUAUAUCGGUCGUGCCUCGGUACGUACUGGUAUUUUCGGUUUCUCCCUUCUGACGAACCUUGAUGUCAUUAAUUUGGUGUCUUGGGGAAUCAGGACUGUUACUUUGAAAAAAUUAGAGUGUUUAAAGCAGGCUCACGCUUGAAUACAUUAGCAUGGAAUAAUGAAAUAGGACGUUUGAUUCUAUUUUGUUGGUUUCUAGGAUCGACGUAAUGAUUAAUAGGGAUAGUUGGGGGCAUUAGUAUUCAAUUGUCAGAGGUGAAAUUCUUGGAUUUAUUGAAGACUAACUACUGCGAAAGCAUUUGCCAAGGAUGUUUUCAUUAAUCAAGAACGAAAGUUAGGGAUCGAAGACGAUCAGAUACCGUCG
This 445-nucleotide ribosomal RNA is filed under the name uncultured Glomeromycotina. RNAcentral describes it as "SSU rRNA". It matches the Rfam family "Eukaryotic small subunit ribosomal RNA", at positions 569 to 1020 of the family's 1831-position model. The record is from RNAcentral. Lineage: Eukaryota; Fungi; Glomeromycota.